RNAcentral lists this ribosomal RNA (409 nucleotides) under uncultured microorganism. Its description in RNAcentral is "bacterial SSU rRNA". It matches the Rfam family "Bacterial small subunit ribosomal RNA", at positions 9 to 417 of the family's 1533-position model. The record is from RNAcentral.
GAGUUUGAUCAUGGCUCAGGACGAACGCUGGCGGCGUGCUUAACACAUGCAAGUCGAACGGAAAGGCCCUGCUUUUGUGGGGUGCUCGAGUGGCGAACGGGUGAGUAACACGUGAGUAACCUGCCCUUGACUUUGGGAUAACUUCAGGAAACUGGGGCUAAUACCGGAUAGGAGCUCCUGCUGCAUGGUGGGGUUGGAAAGUUUCGGCGGUUGGGGAUGGACUCGCGGCUUAUCAGCUUGUUGGUGGGGUAGUGGCUUACCAAGGCUUUGACGGGUAGCCGGCCUGAGAGGGUGACCGGCCACAUUGGGACUGAGAUACGGCCCAGACUCCUACGGGAGGCAGCAGUGGGGAAUAUUGCACAAUGGGCGGAAGCCUGAUGCAGCAACGCCGCGUGCGGGAUGACGGCCU